Molecule: ribosomal RNA, 253 nt
Filed under: uncultured bacterium
Lineage: Bacteria
Description: partial 16S ribosomal RNA
Rfam family: Bacterial small subunit ribosomal RNA
Source: RNAcentral
UGCGUAGGGGGCUAGCGUUGUCCGGAAUCAUUGGGCGUAAAGAGCGUGUAGGCGGCCCGGUAAGUCCGCUGUAAAAGUCAAAGGCUCAACCUUUGAAUGUCAGUGGAUACUGCCGGGCUAGAGUCCGGAAGAGGCGAGUGGAACUCCUGGUGUAGCGGUGGAAUGCGCAGAUAUCAGGAAGAACACCAACGGCGAAGGCAGCUCGCUGGGACGGUACUGACGCUGAGACGCGAAAGCGUGGGGAGCGAACAGG